RNAcentral lists this ribosomal RNA (649 nucleotides) under uncultured archaeon. RNAcentral's name for it is "bacterial SSU rRNA". It matches the Rfam family "Archaeal small subunit ribosomal RNA", at positions 206 to 856 of the family's 1478-position model. The record is from RNAcentral.
AGGAUGAGUCUGCGGACUAUCAGGUUGUAGUCAGGGUAAUGACCUGACUAGCCUACGACGGAUACGGGUUGUGAGAGCACUAGCCCGGAGAUGAUAUCUGAGACACGAUAUCAGGCCCUACGGGGCGCAGCAGGCGCGAAAACUUCGCACUGUGCGAAAGCACGACGAGGGAAUCCCAAGUGCUAGCUCGUAAGAGUUAGCUGUUUUUCUGUCUAAAAAACAGAGAGAGUAAGGGCUGGGUAAGACGGGUGCCAGCCGCCGCGGUAAUACCUGCAGCCCAAGUGGUGGCCGCUAUUAUUGGGCCUAAAACGUCCGUAGCCGGUUCUAUAAAUGCCUGGGUAAAUCGUACGGCUUAACCGUACGAAUUCCGGGUAGACUGUUCAACUUGGGACCGGGAGAGGCUAGAGGUACUCCUGGGGUAGAGGUGAAAUUCUGUAAUCCUAGGGGGACCACCAGUGGCGAAGGCGUCUAGCUAGAACGGGUCUGACGGUGAGGGACGAAGCCCUGGGGCGCAAACGGGAUUAGAUACCCCGGUAGUCCAGGGUGUAAACGCUGCUCGCUUGAUGUUAGUCGGGCUCCGAGCCCGACUAGUGUCGGAGAGAAGUUGUUAAGCGAGCUGCCUGGGGAGUACGGUCGCAAGACUGAAACU